This 1794-nucleotide unclassified non-coding RNA is filed under the name uncultured fungus. RNAcentral's name for it is "sequence contains 18S rRNA gene, ITS1, 5.8S rRNA gene, ITS2, 28S rRNA gene". The stretch from base 703 to 1794 matches the Rfam family "Eukaryotic large subunit ribosomal RNA", at positions 1 to 961 of the family's 3401-position model. Lineage: Eukaryota; Fungi. The record is from RNAcentral.
GGAAGGAUCAUUAAAAACAAUCCAUUGUUAACCCAUCUGCGAACUUGUUUAACCGUAGCGGUACGAGGGGACAAAGAAAGAUGUGGCGUGGGCCCUUAAAAAAGGCCUUGUUUCUUUGUUCGCCCACACGAAAGUGAGGGGCCUCUAUUGCUAUUUCGCCAUGUUUAUUUUAUUAACCCCUUUUACUUUAACUUUGUACUAAAUCUUUUUUUUUUCGUGAAUCUCUUCGCGGAGCUUCUGAAAAAUCAAAAAAACAUUAAAAAAACAUCGAACAACUCUUAACAACGGAUAUCUAGGCUCUCAUCUCGAUGAAGAACGCAGCGAAAUGCGAUACGUAAUGCGAAUUGCAGGAUUCAGUGAAUCAUCAAAUCUUUGAACGCAUCUUGCGCUUUCGGGUGACCGAGAGCAUGCCUCUUUGAGUAUCGUUUUAACACCACUCGGCUGCGACCUUUCGAGGUUGCUAAGUCCGGACAAUGAGAGUCUUUUCGAUAAAAAGGAAAGUCUCUUUAAGUUCCUGUGAAAACUCACACAUGUUUUGACCCAAGAAUGGCAGCGCUCAUUCUCUGGUUGAUGCUUGAUACUUGACUUCGGUCAUUCUCUGCAUCUUGACUGGAGCGUAGGUGUCUCAUAGGUUUUUGGGUGUAACAGGCAUUCGUGCCUAGGCAUAUGGGAGCGACAAGUAAGGAAAAACUUUAAACAACUCGAUCUCAAAUGAAGCAAGACUACCCGCCGAAUUUAAGCAUAUAAUUAAGCGGAGGAAAAGAAACUAACAAGGAUUCCCCUAGUAACGGCGAGUGAACCGGGAAAAGCUCAAAGUUUAAAUCGACGUUCUUAGCGGGGCGUCGAGAUGUAAGCUCGAGACGGAAGCCCAGCAACGACCCGGGUAUAAGCUCCUUGGAACAGAGUGUCAGAGAGGGUGAGAAUCCCGUCUUUGACUCGGAGUUCGGUGCGUACGGGAACCGGUCAGAGAGUCGUGUACCUUGGGAAUGGUGCACUAAAUGGGUGGUAAAUUCCAUCUAAAGCUAAAUAUCGAUGAGAGACCGAUAGCGAACAAGUACCGUGAGGGAAAGGUGAAAAGAACUUUGAAAAGAGAGUUAAAAAGUACUUGAAAUUGUUAGGAGGUAAGCACUGAGAACCAGUAGUGCUGGGUACAUAUUUUCCUUUCGUGCGUGACUGCCUGCUAACCGUACCUCUAAAGGCGGUUGGUAAAGCAGAGAGCGCACGGUGGGCUCCUGUGUGCACAGUGAGUCAGGAUCAAGUAGAUCAACGCGAGAAGGUCUCUAUAAGGUGCUCGCAGAGAUGUGAGUCAAGGAUAGGGAUUAUAGCGUAGAUUUGCUUGAGGCAUGAUCAACACCCGCCGCAAGGCAGCGUAACUAUCUCUGCAAGUGUUCUUGGGAUAUAAGGGGCAAACUCCUUAUACCUGGGGCAUGAGUACUAGGUGGGUAUCGACUUGGGUGUUCGCGAUCCUGACGAAAUGGUUUUCAUUGACCCGUCUUGAAACACGGACCAAGGAGUCUAGCAUAUAUGCGAGUAUUUGGGUGGAAAACCCUGGUGCGUAAUGAAAGUGAAAGGUAGGAACCGUAACUGGUGCACUAUCGACCGAUCUUUUGCUUGCAGAAGAUUUGAGUAGGAGCAUAUCUGCUGGGACCCGAAAGAUGGUGAACUAUGCCUGAUCAGGGUGAAGCCAGGGGAAACUCUGGUGGAGGCUCGUAGCGAUACUGACGUGCAAAUCGUUCGUCUGAAUUGGGUAUAGGGGCGAAAGACUAAUCGAACCAUCUAGUUGCUGGUUCACGC